GCCGUCACAUCGCUAGAUUGUCUUCGACGAGUCGAGUUGUUUGGGAAUGCAGCUCAAAAUGGGUGGUAAAUGUCAUCUAAAGCUAAAUAUUGGCGAGAGACCGAUAGCGCACAAGUAGAGUGAUCGAAAGAUGAAAAGCACUUUGAAAAGAGAGUCAAAAAGUACGUGAAAUUGCUGAAAGGGAAGCGCUUGAGACCAGACUCGAACCGUGGCGAUCGCCCGCGCUUCUGCGCAGGUGUCACUUGCCACGGUUUGGGCCAGCAUCGGUUCUGGCGGCCGGAUAAAAGGUGGGGGAAUGUAGCUUCCUUCGGGGAGUGUUAAUUAGCCCGACGACCAGAAUGCGGCCAGCCGGGACCGAGGGAUAUCGCGCUUCGCUGAAGCUAGGAUGCUGGCGUAAUGGUCUUAAGCGACCCGUCUUGAAACACGGACCAAGGAGUCUAACAUCUAUGCGAGUGUUCGGGUGGAAAACCCUUGCGCGAAAUGAAAGUGAACGGAGGUGGGAACCCGCAAGGGUGCACCAUCGACCGAUCCUGAAGUCUUCGGAAGGAUUUGAGUAGGAGCACAGAUGUUGGGACCCGAAAGAUGGUGAACUAUGCCUGAAUAGGGUGAAGCCAGAGGAAACUCUGGUGGAGGCUCGCAGCGGUUCUGACGUGCAAAUCGAUCGUCAAAUUUGGGUAUAGGGGCGAAAGACUAAUCGAACCAUCUAGUAGCUGGUUCCUGCCGAA
RNAcentral lists this ribosomal RNA (725 nucleotides) under Genea gardneri. RNAcentral's name for it is "eukaryotic LSU rRNA". It matches the Rfam family "Eukaryotic large subunit ribosomal RNA", at positions 234 to 965 of the family's 3401-position model. Lineage: Eukaryota; Fungi; Ascomycota; Pezizomycetes; Pezizales; Pyronemataceae. The record is from RNAcentral.